AUCCAGCUGACGAGUCCCAAAUAGAAUGAAACACGCGUCAAACUGGAU
This is a non-coding RNA of Schistosoma mansoni, 48 nucleotides long. The record is from Rfam. NCBI's taxonomy places the organism in Eukaryota, Metazoa, Platyhelminthes, Trematoda, Strigeidida, Schistosomatidae.